UACGUAGGGUGCGAGCGUUGUCCGGAAUUAUUGGGCGUAAAGAGCUCGUAGGCGGUCUGUCGCGUCUGCUGUGAAAUCCCGAGGCUCAACCUCGGGCCUGCAGUGGGUACGGGCAGACUAGAGUGCGGUAGGGGAGAUUGGAAUUCCUGGUAUAGCGGUGGAAUGCGCAGAUAUCAGGAGGAACACCGAUGGCGAAGGCAGAUCUCUGGGCCGUAACUGACGCUGAGGAGCGAAAGCGUGGGGAGCGAACAGG
This 253-nucleotide ribosomal RNA is filed under the name uncultured bacterium. RNAcentral describes it as "partial 16S ribosomal RNA". It matches the Rfam family "Bacterial small subunit ribosomal RNA", at positions 524 to 776 of the family's 1533-position model. The record is from RNAcentral.